Molecule: non-coding RNA, 336 nt
Organism: Erpetoichthys calabaricus (reedfish)
Lineage: Eukaryota; Metazoa; Chordata; Cladistia; Polypteriformes; Polypteridae
Source: the annotation of a RefSeq genome assembly
AUGAUUUUCACAGCAUUUUUCAUGAUAAUAAUUUUGGCAAAAGAUGCUUUUUCUCAGGUCAUGUUGACUCCAACAACUUCAGUGGUACAAACAAUCCCUGGAAAGACAUUAAGGCUGUCGUGCAGAGUUUCAGGCUUCUCCUUAAGCAGUUACAGUGCACACUGGAUUCGCCAGCCUCCUGGUAAAGGACUGCAAUGGGUUGGCUAUUACAGCAAGUCAAUUGACAGUCGUUUCAAAGUUACAGAAGACAGCAGCAAUAAUUUGGCACAUCUUGAUAUUAGCAACGUGUUGACAGAAGAUAUGGGUGUUUAUUACUGUGCUCGAAGGCACAGUUGA